GAUGAACGCUGGCGGCGUGCCUAAUACAUGCAAGUCGAGCGAACAGAUGAGGAGCUUGCUCCUCUGACGUUAGCGGCGGACGGGUGAGUAACACGUGGAUAACCUACCUAUAAGACUGGGAUAACUUCGGGAAACCGGAGCUAAUACCGGAUAAUAUAUUGAACCGCAUGGUUCAAUAGUGAAAGAUGGUUUUGCUGUCACUUAUAGAUGGAUCCGCGCCGCAUUAGCUAGUUGGUAAGGUAACGGCUUACCAAGGCAACGAUGCGUGGCCGACCUGAGAGGGUGAUCGGCCACACUGGAACUGAGACACGGUCCAGACUCCUACGGGAGGCAGCAGUAGGGAAUCUUCCGCAAUGGGCGAAAGCCUGACGGAGCAACGCCGCGUGAGUGAUGAAGGUCUUCGGAUCGUAAAACUCUGUUAUUAGGGAAGAACAAAUGUGUAAGUAACUAUGCACGUCUUGACGGUACCUAAUCAGAAAGCCACGGCUAACUACGUG
RNAcentral lists this ribosomal RNA (497 nucleotides) under uncultured bacterium. Its description in RNAcentral is "partial 16S ribosomal RNA". It matches the Rfam family "Bacterial small subunit ribosomal RNA", at positions 28 to 507 of the family's 1533-position model. The record is from RNAcentral.